CUUCGUACAGGGCCAGGAAGUCGAUGUCCUUCUUCCUCCGCCUUUUCUUCUGGGGCAUCAUUCUGUCGGCUGCCUUCUCCCAGCGCUCGCAGGCUCACUGUGCCGCCUCCUCACACCUGCGGGAACCUGAGACCUCCUCCCUGAGCUCUGGCGCCCACGGCCCUCCUAUAGCUCAGGCCUGGGUGGGCCAGAGUGCCCCGUUUUCUUGGCUUCCCCGUGCCCAAGGUGCUGUUCCCUCUGCCUUCUCUGGCUCCUGAGCUGAACCUCAGUGCCUUAUCUCUGAACCUCCUGUCCCUGUCCCCUCCCACCACCCUCUGGUGAGCCACCUCCUCCUCCUCUGUACCUGCCCCGGGGCUUCUCUUUGGGCCUCAUCACUUAUUCAUGGCGCUGAGGGCAGGCUGACUUCCUUCCUCUCUCCCCUCCCCACCAGCCCUCUCUCCUCCCUAUGGAGAAUCAGGUGACACGGAGCCCUUGAAGUCCAUUUCCCACCUGGCCUCACAGCCAGGGGGUCACCUGGGAUCCCUCCAGGCCACCCCAGGGACAGGUGAGGGCUCCUCACCCAGGAGAUCUCCCAAGCCUUACAGCCCACACGGGACCCUCCUGAGGAAGGCGGGGCCCCGGAAUCAGCCAGGCUCCCAGGACUCAAAGGCCCCCGUUUCUCUCCAUUAUUCAUGACCUCUGAUCGUCUUACGGAGCAGGCGGGGUUCUCGCUGGAUCCUUCUCGUUCUCUCUCUCUGCUUCCAUCUCAUCAAGACUGCGGGCUUCCGGAAGUGGCCUCUGGGCACGAGGAAAGCUAGGGCACCAGAAAACUCUCCCCGCUCCCCCUGCCAGAGUACAUUCUCUUGCUGCUGGAUGGCGUUGGUCAUAUUCCUCUCCAGCUCAAAAACAUUUGCUUACGCCCCACGGCAAUUGAAUUUUCUCAGCCAGAGUUCUGGAUUAAAAGCAACAGAAACCAACAAUGGCUAGUUUAAGUAGAAAAAUUAUUUUUUUAAGCUGAUGGAAGGUGGAUCUCAGAAUGUCCCAGAGAUCUACACUCUGGAAAUGAUGCCUAGAAUCAUGCUGGUCCAGAGAGGACCCGACUUCCACCAAUGCUGGGCCUGGAUGUACAGCGUGCACCACAAGCUUCAGCACUGGCUGUUGCUGCUAGAGCCACAGCAGCUGCCUGUUUGUGCCGCCCUCACCAGAAUGGACUCUGCUGCCUUCUGCCAUUCAGUCUGGGGCCGGAGCAUCUGAUUGGCUGAGCCUAAGUCAUGUGCCCACAGCCUUGCUGGAAAGGAGGCUGGGAAAGAGAGUAUUUGGCCUUUCCAACUGCUAUGCUGGGAACUGUGCUCUUCUCAAACUUUAGAAGGGGAUUCAGAUGCUGGAUUACCAAGAUAACAAAUGUCUAUGAAACUAAUAGAAUUCUAGCUCCUCAAGCUGAUAGCAGAGACCCUCUAUAAUCUGACCAACCUUCUCCUUAUGAAACCCACACUGUGGAUAAACAGAAGAAACCCCUGUUUUCUAAACGGGCCUGGUGCUUUCCUUCUGCAGGCUUUAGUUCACGCUGACGUUAGAGCUGUUGUGUGCAUUCCUGUGUCAGCCAGCUAUUGCCACACGACAAGCAAGCAUACAAAUCUCAGUGGCAUGGUGUUACCUCUCACAUGUCUGGGGCUGGGUUGGGAUGACAUAUAUAUGCUGGGCUCAGCUGGCAGGUCUGCCUCAAUCUAUAGGACCAGCUGAACAUGGCCAGGGCAACUCUUUUCUACGUGAGUUUGAAACCAUCCCUAUAAACUUUAUAAAAUUAAUCAGCAAAGAAGGGAGGGGGAGAAAUGAAAAUAAACCAAGCUUGCAGCACACUCAGCAUUCAUCAGCAAGUCAGCUUGCUCUCUGACCCACCCCUCGUGGUUCCUUACCUGUUGCCUCAGAAUAACGUAGAUCCUGUUACAAGAUCAUCGUUCCCUUUAACUGCCCUAUAGACAACAAUCUGAACAUUAUAAAACAUGAAGAUUUCUCUUUUACAAGAGCAUAGUUCCCCUUAACUGCCCUAUUGCCAACAAUCUGAACAUUAUAAAACGUGAAGAUUUCCCUUUGAGAUACUCCUUUCAGGUCCUGCAUACCAGUGAAACUACUGAUGUCAGCUGAUCUGAAGGACCCCAGGAGAAGCUGACUUACCAAGGAAUCACCCUCCAUGGUCCCCUUAAAAGCCCCAGCUCAGAACUCCUCCGGGGGAUGGAUUUGAGGGUCUCCUCCCAACUCCUUGCUUGGUGCCCUAUGAUCAAAAACUCUUUCUCUGCUGCAAAUCCUGCUGCCUUGGUGUAAUUGGUUUGUGACUGCACAGUAGGCAUAUGAACCUAUUGGUCCUAUAACAGGUUCAAUCUGGGGCCGGCC
RNAcentral lists this long non-coding RNA (2367 nucleotides) under Homo sapiens (human). Its description in RNAcentral is "HSALNT0250845". Lineage: Eukaryota; Metazoa; Chordata; Mammalia; Primates; Hominidae. The record is from RNAcentral.